This 468-nucleotide ribosomal RNA is filed under the name uncultured bacterium. RNAcentral describes it as "partial 16S ribosomal RNA". It matches the Rfam family "Bacterial small subunit ribosomal RNA", at positions 28 to 507 of the family's 1533-position model. The record is from RNAcentral.
GACGAACGCUGGCGGCGUGCUUAACACAUGCAAGUCGAACGGAAAGGCCCUGCUUUUGUGGGGUGCUCGUGUGGCGAACGGGUGAGUAACACGUGAGUAACCUGCCCUUGACUUUGGGAUAACUUCAGGAAACUGGGGCUCAUACCGGAUAGGAGCUCCUGCUGCAUGGUGGGGGUUGGAAAGUUUCGGCGGUUGGGGAUGGACUCGCGGCUUAUCCGCUUGUUGGUGGGGUAGUGGCUUACCAAGGCUUUGACGGGUAGCCGGCCUGGGAGGGUGACCGGCCACAUGGGGACUGAGAGACGGCCCAGACGCGUACGGGAGGCAGCAGGGGGGAAUAUGGCGCAAUAGGCGGGAGCCAGAUGCAACAACGCCGGGUGCGGGAAGACGGCCUUCGGGGUGUAAACCGCUUUCGACGGAGACGAAGCGUGAGUGACGGUAAUGGGUAAGGAAGCACCGGCUAACUACGUG